RNAcentral lists this long non-coding RNA (1377 nucleotides) under Parus major (Great Tit). RNAcentral describes it as "lncRNA (ENSPMJG00000008274.1)". The record is from RNAcentral. Lineage: Eukaryota; Metazoa; Chordata; Aves; Passeriformes; Paridae.
UGGAAUAUUAAUUAAAAGCAGAAAUGGGAUUACUCAUACUAAAAAAAUUAAUAUUUUUACUCUAAGACUCUGUCAACAGAGACAACUGUUGAACAUAAAUAACCCAAAUUUUUUGAUCCACAUUAGCCAAUUUACUUCUUCCUGAAAAGGAUAGUUCAGUGUUAACUAGUGAAAAAAUGGGAACUGUGAUAUUAUUUUAUUUGUGCUGAUUGGAUCGUAGAACAGCUUGAAACUUUGUCAGAGAUCAUUUGGUGUAACAGUGUACAGUUUGUCACCCUGGUGACAGUGGCCCUCCUGUACUGUGGGACUCUUAGUUCUGUCCAUGAAAUUGCUGUUUCUGCACAUUAUUUGCAGAACGCUGUUUGUGAACAUUUCACUUUUGAAAUUUAUGCUCAGUCCAAAACUCAUAUGAAAUGACUGUUUCUGUUUUCUGGAAAGGUUAAAAUGGCUUCACUUCUAUAAUGAAUUUACACUAAACUUCCCAUUUGAGCUAUUAUGUCUGUAGUUCUUUCAAGAAGCUGGGUGCCUCCCCAGGACAAGAGGCAUGAACCGAGCAAGAUCAAGUCACUGUUUGCUCAGCUGAGACUUUUGCUCAUCAGAAAGGUCCUCUCUGCCCAGCUUCUCCAUCUGGUUGGUAUCAUGGGCUUCAGCAGUGUUUGUUUGUAGUCUUGAAUGUGGCUGUAGGCACAGGCAGCUGAGCUGCUGUCCAGUUAGCUUUCCUUUUGGUACAUGUAGGAGCUCAGGACUUUGGGGAGAUAAAUAAUGUCAUCCAAUUUUACAGCAGUAACAUGUGCUUCAUCUUUUGGAGCCCCUUCACCUUUUGUGGUGUUGGAAAACCAGAAGCUGGUUGGGAACCUGUGGUGCCUACAUCCGUGAUAUGAAAUUUCUGUCUCCUCUCCAACCCUCAUUUCCACUCUCUGAAAGGAUCCAGAAGUCUCUGAGUUUUGCAAAUGUGUAUGUAAGUAAUACCUAAUUGUCCCAAUUAAUUGAAUUAGACUAACUUUAUGUGCUUGAAUUCAUAUGGAAGACUGAGUCUUCUAGUUUGUACUUUAAUCCUAUUAAAGUACUGAACAGACUGAGACAGAGAAAAAUCCAGAUCUUACUGGGUCUAGUAAAAGUCAGUGUGCUGGAAGUGCAUCUGGUAUUGUAGGAACAGCUUCUCUGGCAAAGUGAGCUCUGACUGGAUUUGGUUAAUUAAGUGUUCCUUGGCCUGCUGCUCUACCUUCCCUGCACAUACAGCUGUAUGUAGGUACAUGUAUGUCAGGGCUUGGUUUGGGGGGAAAUACUUAUUUAGUGCACUAAACUACCAUUACUGCAAGCUAACUUUGAUCAGCUUUGUUUCUUUUUAUCCUUUUAAGUAGUACUGUCUGCCCUGGU